Molecule: ribosomal RNA, 894 nt
Filed under: uncultured bacterium
Lineage: Bacteria
Description: bacterial SSU rRNA
Rfam family: Bacterial small subunit ribosomal RNA
Source: RNAcentral
UUAGGCAUGCAGUCGAACGAAUCCCACCCGGGCAACUGGGUGGGGGAAGUGGCGAAAGGGGCAGUAAGGCGUGGGUAACCUGCCCCGGAGUUCGGGAUAGCCUUCCUAACGGAUGGGUAAUACCGAACGCCAUGAGCGAGGGGCCUCCUUUGCUCAUGAAAGCCCGCAAGGGCGCUCCGGGAGGGGCUCACGUGAUAUUAGCUAGUUGGUGGGGUAACGGCCCACCAAGGCCAAGAUGUCUAGCAGGUGUGAGAGCACGACCUGCGCCACUGGCACUGGGACACUGGCCAGACUCCUACGGGAGGCUGCAGUCGAGGAUCUUCGGCAAUGGGCGCAAGCCUGACCGAGCGACGCCGCGUGCGCGAUGAAGGCCUUCGGGUUGUAAAGCGCUGUCGGGAGGGAGAAAGCCCGCGAGGGUUGAUCGACCUCCGGAGGAAGCACGGGCUAAGUUCGUGCCAGCAGCCGCGGUAAGACGAACCGUGCGAACGUUGUUCGGAAUCACUGGGCUUAAAGGGCGCGUAGGCGGGCUUACAAGUCCGGGGUGAAAGCCCCCAGCUCAACUGGGGAAGCGCCUUGGAUACUGUAGGCCUCGAGGGGGGUAGGGGCGCGCGGAACUUCCGGUGGAGCGGUGAAAUGCGUAGAUAUCGGAAGGAACACCGGUGGCGAAAGCGGCGCGCUGGACCCCUUCUGACGCUGAGGCGCGAAAGCCAGGGGAGCAAACGGGAUUAGAUACCCCGGUAGUCCUGGCCCUAAACGUUGGGCACUAGGUUGUGGGCUUACAUGGGCUCACAGCCGGAGCAAAAGUGUUAAGUGCCCCGCCUGGGGAGUAUGGUCGCAAGGCUGAAACUCAAAGGAAUUGACGGGGGCUCACACAAGCGGUGGAGCAUGUGGCUU